CCUACGGGAGGCAUCAGUGAGGAAUAUUGGUCAAUGGACGAGAGUCUGAACCAGCCAAGUAGCGUGAAGGAUGACUGCCCUAUGGGUUGUAAACUUCUUUUAUAUGUGAAUGAAACGUUCCACGUGUGGGAUUUUGUAUGUACCAUAUGAAUAAGGAUCGGCUAACUCCGUGCCAGCAGCCGCGGUAAUACGGAGGAUCCGAGCGUUAUCCGGAUUUAUUGGGUUUAAAGGGAGCGUAGGUGGAUUGUUAAGUCAGUUGUGAAAGUUUGCGGCUCAACCGUAAAAUUGCAGUUGAAACUGGCAGUCUUGAGUACAGUAGAGGUGGGCGGAAGUCGUGGUGUAGCGGUGAAAUGCUUAGAUAUCACGAAGAACUCCGAUUGCGAAGGCAGUUCACUGGACUGCAACUGACACUGAGGCUCGAAAGUGUGGGUAUCAAACAGGAUUAGAUACCCCGGUAGUC
This 460-nucleotide ribosomal RNA is filed under the name uncultured bacterium. Its description in RNAcentral is "partial 16S ribosomal RNA". It matches the Rfam family "Bacterial small subunit ribosomal RNA", at positions 338 to 795 of the family's 1533-position model. The record is from RNAcentral.